Molecule: non-coding RNA, 2031 nt
Organism: Phoenix dactylifera (date palm)
Lineage: Eukaryota; Viridiplantae; Streptophyta; Magnoliopsida; Arecales; Arecaceae
Source: RefSeq, a predicted model, not a curated record
CCGCACAGUCUCCAACUCCAAGGCACAGUCCGUGACUUAUCGAUUGCCCGAGUUCCCGACUUCCCGUCUCCUACUCUUCUCCUUAGGGUUAGGAUUUAGGGUUUGUGCUGCGCCGCCCGAGCUCCAUUUGGCUAUUCCCUCCCUCAGGUCAGGCCUUAGUCUCUCUCGAGCCUCUCCCCUCUCCUUCGGACCUUCGCCUCCACCCUCUCCUCCUCCGUGCCGACAACUUUGGCCUCCCCGUCGACGGCGAUCGUGGCGGCUUGAGGACCACACUCCACCAUCCGCGACCUCUCCUUAGUUAGGGACUUAGGGUUAGAGUUUGUGUGCCGCCCGAGCUCUAUUCCCUCCCUCAGUCUUUCUCGAGUCUCUCCCCUUUGCUCUCCUUCGGAUUCUUCGCCUCCCGAGCCCUCUCCUCCGGACCUCUGCCUCCGCCCUCUCCUCCCCUGUGCCGACAACUUCGGCCUCCCCAUCGACGGCGACCGUGGCGGCUCGGAUCCUCUGCUCUACCGAGGUAAAUUUUGAUGAUUGGCCUAAAUGUUAAUGUUUCAGGAUGGUUAUUCCCCUAGAUUUGUUCCACUCAAUCUAGCAAAUGAUUAUUCUUUACCUUUGGCUGCUUGCAAUUAGAUAUACUUUGAAAGGGUUCUCAUUUAAUUUCAACAUUUGUGGAGGUUGAUUUGUUUGGACAGCUGCUUUACAUGAGGGUGAUGUUGAUGCUGAACAUUUAUGGUGUGCUUUUUCAUGAUGAUUUUUUCAUGAUUUAUCUCCACAUAGCUUCAUUCUUAUAAUCUUAUGUUAUUCAAUAUAGCUAUUUGAUAGUUUCUUUUGCUAGAUUCUUUUUUUGCACAGGUUGCUAUUGUAAGUUUGUAACUUUGGGAUAGCAAGAAAAUUCAUCUGGAGAUUGCUAAGCAAAAGGAAAUUCAUCUUGAUGUAUGCAAUGCUGUUUUUAUUUUUAUUCAAUAAUAGUCUAGUAGCCAUCCCUAGAGGGACAAGAGGUGGAGAUAUUAGGUGUUCAGUUGGUCUGAUGAUCUGGGUCUGUGAUUCUUGGUUGUAGUUCUAUUAGCCUGGCUUUGUUUGUUAGGGAUGCAUGGAGUUGGUGCAGGCAACUGGUACUUGAUAUUCUUGGUUGUAUGCAAUGCUGUUCAGCUCUUUGCUAUUGCUCUCUUGUGCCCGAUAUGAACUUAAAUUGUGAUCUGAAGUUGGUGCAGGCAGCUGGUACUUGAUCUGUUCGAUCACAUAACUUUUGUCCCCUUAUAUUGAGGCUCUUUUCUACGAUACGCUGCUGCUUUCUGGGUUAUAGAAAUAUCGUGUUUUAGCAGCCACAUUUUUGUCAGUGUUUAUAUUCUUGUGAUUGAAAACUGACUACCUGUUCUCUUCACCAUUUCUACAGUAAGUUACAGAGUGAUGUUUUGAGGGAAGCAAUCUCUCAGAUUGCAAAUGAUUCUCGAGAGAAGAAGCGCAAUUUUACUGAAACCAUUGAGCUACAAAUUGGUCUGAAAAACUAUGACCCCCAAAAAGAUAAGCAUUUCAGCAGAUCUUAUGUUUACCUAAUAUAAUUUUUAAUGGCAAACAUCAUACAAAUAACUUGUCCAAUGCAUUUGAAUUCAGGGCCUGGUUGUUCUUCUAUUGUCUAUGGAGAGGCAGAGGAACUUGGACCUUUCUUAAUACAAAAAGGCAUGCCAGAGCUCAAAUUCAACAAGCAUUCUUGGAACCGGAGGAAUUGCGACUCAUCACUCGCCUAUAGGCCCUAUACUGACAGAGAAAAUAGGGCUUGACUAUAUGGAUGUUGAAGCACUAAAAAAAUAAAUAAAAACAAGAAGCUGGUCAAAAAGCUUGCUAAGAAGUACCAUGCUUUCCUAGCAUCAGAGGCCAUCAUGUAUAUUGAUAUUUGUUCUAUGUGAAGCAGAUUUUCUUUUCGGGCUAUUCCAUAUGUAAAUUUGGAUGAUUUGACUUGUAUUCCUUAUCUUUGUAAAGAUUAAAUAUUUUUUGAAUAUUGUUGGUAUUAGAUGAAUGAUUAAAUACUUGUAUUCCUUA